This 649-nucleotide ribosomal RNA is filed under the name uncultured bacterium. Its description in RNAcentral is "bacterial SSU rRNA". It matches the Rfam family "Bacterial small subunit ribosomal RNA", at positions 8 to 690 of the family's 1533-position model. The record is from RNAcentral.
AGAGUUUGAUCCUGGCUCAGAACGAACGCUGGCGGCAUGCCUAACACAUGCAAGUCGAACGUGAAGCCGUCCUUCGGGGCGGUGGAAAGUGGCGCACGGGUGAGUAACCCCUGGGAACCUGCCCCUUGGUAUGGGAUAACCGUGGGAAACUGCGGCUAAUACCGUAUACGCCCUGAGGGGGAAAGAUUUAUCGCCGAGGGAGGGGCCCGCGUCGGAUUAGGUAGUUGGUGGGGUAACGGCCUACCAAGCCGACGAUCCGUAGCUGGUCUUACAGGACGGUCCGCCACACUGGGACUGAGACACGGCCCAGACUCCUACGGGAGGCAGCAGUGGGGAAUAUUGGACUAUGGGGGAAACCCUGAUCCAGCAAUGCCGCGUGGGUGACCAAGGCCUUAGGGUUGUAAAGCCCUUUCGGCGGGGAAGAUGAUGACGGUACCCGCAGAAUAAGCCCCGGCUAAAUCCGUGCCCGCAGCCGCGGUAAUACCGAGGGGGCUAGUGUUGUUCGGAAUUACUGGGCGUAAAGGGCGUGUAGGCCGCCCGUCAAGUCAGGCGUGAAAGCCCUGGGCUUAACCUAAGAGGUGCGCUUGAAACUGAUGGGCUUGAAGCCCGGCAGAGGAAAGUGGAAUUCCCAGCGUAAAAGUGAAAAUCC